UCAGCAGGGGCUUUGCCGUAGAUGGCGUC
RNAcentral lists this small RNA (29 nucleotides) under Bombyx mori (domestic silkworm). RNAcentral describes it as "ovarian small RNA-25668". The record is from RNAcentral. Lineage: Eukaryota; Metazoa; Arthropoda; Insecta; Lepidoptera; Bombycidae.